Molecule: small nucleolar RNA, 108 nt
Organism: Rhododendron vialii
Lineage: Eukaryota; Viridiplantae; Streptophyta; Magnoliopsida; Ericales; Ericaceae
Product: small nucleolar RNA snoR100
Exons: 1
Source: RefSeq, a predicted model, not a curated record
GAAUGAAGGAAACAUGGUAAUGGGCGCAGAAAUUAAUUUGGGUCUCUAGAUCUACCCUCUUUGAUGCCUUUUGGCUUUGAUUUGGGGACAUGGUUCCGCAGAAAAACA